Homo sapiens (human) is the source of this 3269-nucleotide long non-coding RNA. Lineage: Eukaryota; Metazoa; Chordata; Mammalia; Primates; Hominidae. The record is from Ensembl.
GGAGCCUGACUGUGAGAACUGUCUGUAUUCAAACAUGUUAAGAGCUGAAUAUUUAAAAUUUGUUUGGCUCACCAAGCUUGGCUUUCUGAAGACAACAGAAGUGGGAUAGAGAGAUCAAAAAGAAAAAAAAAAUCAUAAAAGUAUUGCUAAACAAUCAAAUGCAAGGUAUUUUGUCUUCUUUCACUCCUUAAAAGAAAAUCAAUCAAUUAAUACACAAAGAUAAAAGUGAGAAACCUACUGUAAUCUACUAAGGUCCAGGAAUUUAAAGAAUCAAAUGUACCUUCUGGGUUUCGGAAUCCAUCGGGGAGAAUGUAGAGGGUGAUGAGAAGACUUUGCAUUUGACCAAAAAGCACUAGUAAAUAAGGAGUUAAAAUGAAGGCAGGCUCGCUGGUUUGCUGAGAUCUGUCAGAGUCUGACUGGCUGGCUACAUAUCUGUCUCUGGAACAAUAGGUACCUGUAUUCUGCACGGACUGCUGGGCAGCACUAGCACUCUGGAGAAGGUCUGCCGCUGUCUGCACUUUCCUGGUUCUAUGCAGGCAGAUGAGUGUCACAGCUGUAACUGAGGCACAGAGCAGUACACACAGUGGAGCCGAUUUCCGCGAUGGCGAGAGGGGGCACCGGAGGUGACAACAAUAACAAGACUGUCCUUCGGACAAGUUUUAGCGCUGAAUAUCUUCAGGAAAAUGGGUUCCAUGAGAAGUGACAUCCUCCUCGAAUCAAAAGGAAGAAUGACUUGGGCAAUACCAAAUGUUGAGUUAUCAAGUAUUUCGAUACCCAUAUGCAUCAUCUGCUAUUCUCAGGAUGAUGGAGUGAGUGAUGGAAUAGGUUGCCAACUGUAGUUACUCCACUCAGCACAGAAUGGCUGCGGGGAAAUAUAAUCAGACAUGCCCAAAGAAGUCUGCUUAGGGUGAAACAAAUACCUUUGAGGUUUAAAUCAGAAAGGAAGGAGAGACUGUUUCUACAGGUGUCAUACAAAAAUCAAUACUGAGCCAAGGAUUAUUGGAUCCCAUAGAACCACGGAGACUUGGUAGUGAAAUUCUUCCAAAGCAUUCCAUCCGUGCAGGCAGAUGGUGUUCCUAGGUUUGGAAAUAUAAAUCCCAUGGGAAGUCAGCUGAAGACCAUUUUAUGCAUCACUCAUCCUGUUAGAGCCCUGUGCUGUUCUGUCUCUCUAUAAGACUGGCUGAAACCACCACGGUUGUUUACAAUUUAUGCUCUAACUUUGGAUCACCUAGUUAAUACUCUAACUCCGAUUAUUACCAAAGACAAUGUUCUAUAAAAGAUAUUGUCUAUUAGAAGGAUGCUUCUGCAUUAUUAAUAAAAUCACAGGGAAAAUGCAACAUUUUGGAUGUCACAUCUGAUAAGUGGGUGACUGAUCGUACCCGCCAGCUGGCUAAUGUCAUAAUUAACAAAGUUGCUACUACAUCUGCAAAGUUUAAUCGAAAAAUUUGCCAGUGAUAUGAUGGCCUUGUCACAGAGAUCACAAGGGACACGGAGUUGACUUUUGCUCAAGGUGGAACGACAGAGCUGUGUAGGCAAGAUGAGAAAUUGCGAACUUGUUCGGCCAAAGCAGCAAGACAAGACAAGUAAUAUUGCAUUCAUUUUCUAUAAAGUACACGGAGAUGUUAAGUGAUUUACCUGGUAUUACUUCAGUGAAAACAGGAAAGAUGAAGGUAGGAGAAUAUACUUGGAAUCCUUUUCCGGACUGUUUGGAAAAACAAGGAACGACUAUGCUCUGGAGAGUCCUGUAAUUUGCAGAAAAUGGACCAAGAUAACAUUUGAGUUCCAUGCUACCAAAAUCCUCUUGAGAAGGACAGCUAGCUACCCAGAAUAUUUAACAUUGUGACAUUGAAAUGUUGGAUGAACGAUUAAAAUGAAGAAUCUAGUCAUAGGUUGUAAGAAAUCGCUAAAUUAUUAUGUUUAAUCCAAAGAAGAGAAAGGAAAAGCUGUUUUCAUUCCCCCCAGCCUCUGAGGAGGCUAAUAAUGAAGGGGCCGGGAAGGAGGCCAGUGCUACCAGGGUUAUCUCACAACCUCAGAUGCUGGAUAAGUCGACGGAGGCAGAAUCGCUUUGGGAUGACAUUCAGAAAGCCUGGAGUGAUUACUUGCAAGAGAAAAGCCUACCUAUUCUUUCCAAGGUGCAGGAAUAUUCCCCUGACCUGCUCAUCCAGUGGUCCAGUAAUGAAUUACUGGAGACCUGCCUUAGACAAAGAAUGCACUCGGAGCCCCAACACACCUAAAGCCAUGCUUUGAAGGAUCUGCCAAGCUCACUUUUAAUCAUGAGAAAGAAAUUACCCACACGGAGUCAGCAGAAAAUGAGAAAGUAGAGCUCGUGCUGUGAAUAAUUCCAGCAAGUGCCAAGGGGCUAGUUGAGGAAUGGCUUCAUGAGAACAUGCUCUAGGGGAACUAUUAAUAGCCCACCAGUCGGGUAGGCAGCAUUCAAUCCUUCUAUGCCUUCUUUCGCCACCUGUUGAGGUCUUUCUUCUGAAACAAAGAAGAAAUAGACAAAUCAGACUUGCCCUCUUGGAAAUGUGGUCCAGAUUUCUCUACUCCCAAGCUCCAAAAAAGGUAUACAUUGGAUGGGCUAGAUCAACUCCUCCUGAGAGCCAUAAAUCCGCCAAGAGUUGUUUUCCAUGUAAGGGUGUGGUACAAUGGGGAACACCUGAUGUUGGAGGAAAGCAGGAGGACUUUAGAGUGGAGUUGCAUUCUAAUCUCUCUGCCGCUUCAACUAUGUGACCUGGGGCAAAUGAUAUAAACUCUAUGAGCCUCUUUCCUUAUCUUUAAAAUGAAGAGAAGUAAUACCUACCUUGUAGGGCUGUUGUGAGGAUUAAAUGAAGUAAUGCAUACAGUGCCUAACAAAGUAUUUAACAUCAUAUUUUUUAAAAGCUCAUGAAAUAUUAGUUUUUCUUCCUUCCCCUCUUUCUAUUUUCUCUCCUGUUCCCUUUUCUCUCCCUCCUCUGCCCUCUCCUUCCUUCAGAUGUUAGUCUAAAACAGCACCUUGGAUCUAAGCAGCACCUUUGAGAAAGAAAAGACUGCUUCAAGAAUGUCUAGUUGCACCUCCUUUCCGUAUGUGGCCUAAAUGCCUAGGUUGGAUCAAUAGUUUAAUUUUUUUAUUGAACUGUUUAAUAUUGACUAUGGACUUACAUUCACUUUUACUGUUUUCUGUAUAUUUACUUUUGCUUGAAGUGUUUUAAUAUUGACUAUUUACCUCUGCUCAUUUUUAUUGAUUUUCUGUAUUUUUUCAAUGAAAAUUAUAAUAAAAAUUAUUUUUGUUA